This 446-nucleotide ribosomal RNA is filed under the name uncultured Prosthecomicrobium sp. Its description in RNAcentral is "bacterial SSU rRNA". It matches the Rfam family "Bacterial small subunit ribosomal RNA", at positions 8 to 490 of the family's 1533-position model. The record is from RNAcentral. Lineage: Bacteria; Pseudomonadati; Pseudomonadota; Alphaproteobacteria; Hyphomicrobiales; Kaistiaceae.
AGAGUUUGAUCAUGGCUCAGAACGAACGCUGGCGGCAGGCCUAACACAUGCAAGUCGAACGAGAAGCCACCUUCGGGUGGUGGACAGUGGCAGACGGGUGAGUAACGCGUGGGAACGUGCCCUUUGGUACGGAACAACUCCGGGAAACUGGAGCUAAUACCGUAUGUGCCCUUCGGGGGAAAGAUUUAUCGCCAAAGGAUCGGCCCGCGUCGGAUUAGCUAGUUGGUAGGGUAAUGGCCUACCAAGGCGACGAUCCGUAGCUGGUCUGAGAGGAUGAUCAGCCACACUGGGACUGAGACACGGCCCAGACUCCCACGGGAGGCAGCAGUGGGGAAUAUUGGACAAUGGGCGCAAGCCUGAUCCAGCCAUGCCGCGUGAGUGAUGAAGGCCCUAGGGUUGUAAAGCUCUUUCAGCGGGGACGAUAAUGACGGUACCCGCAGAAGAUC